CCUUUUUCAAAGCAAUGCGGGCUUUGAGAAUUUCGAUGAUAGAUUUUUUUUCUUUCACUGUCAUUUCCUCAGGUUCCAUUUUUGAAACCUUUUCUUUUAACUGUCGAAUGCCCUGGCGAAGUAAUGUCAAUUCCUUAGAAGCCGUUACGGUUUCCCGAGCCUCUUGAGAUGCCAAAAAUUCCAACAGUCGACUUUGUAGUAUAGAAAAGUCUUGUUGCGAAAGUAAUUCUGCACUAGUGUCCUUAAUAUGAUGUGCUGGAUCCAUCGUGAUAAAACUGUAGUACCUCAAGGUAUCCUUUUCAAAUAUGUAGCCAGCUCUUAGCAGCUAAAUGUUCAAAAAUAAGGGAAACUUCAAGAUCACUUUAGUAAUUCACGGUUGGCAUUAGCGAAAAAUCAGCAUACAAAGCCA
Schizosaccharomyces pombe (fission yeast) is the source of this 409-nucleotide non-coding RNA. The record is from the annotation of a GenBank genome assembly. Lineage: Eukaryota; Fungi; Ascomycota; Schizosaccharomycetes; Schizosaccharomycetales; Schizosaccharomycetaceae.